AUACGGAGGAUCCGAGCGUUAUCCGGAUUUAUUGGGUUUAAAGGGUGCGCAGGCGGCCAUUUAAGUCAGCGGUUAAAUCGUGGGGCUCAACCCCAUUCUGCCGUUGAUACUGGGUGGCUUGAUUGCGGUCGAGGUUGGCGGAAUUCGUUGUGUAGCGGUGAAAUGCAUAGAUAUGACGAAGAACACCGAUUGCGUAGGCAGCUGACCAGACCGCAAAUGACGCUCAUGCACGAAAGUGCGGGGAUCGAACAGGAUUAGAUACCCUGGUGGUCCGCACAGUAAACGAUGAAUACUUGUUUUCGGCGAUAUAAUGUCGGAGGCAAAGCGAAAGCGAUAAGUAUUCCACCUGGGGAGUACGCCGGCAACGGUGAAACUCAAAGGAAUUGACGGGG
Molecule: ribosomal RNA, 392 nt
Filed under: uncultured bacterium
Lineage: Bacteria
Description: partial 16S ribosomal RNA
Rfam family: Bacterial small subunit ribosomal RNA
Source: RNAcentral